GGUAACUGUGCAAUUCAGUUUAGUUUGAAUAAAAAUAUAUUUACUAUCUUCUUUUUUUAAUUCUUUAA
RNAcentral lists this transfer RNA (68 nucleotides) under Ischnura asiatica. Its description in RNAcentral is "tRNA-Leu". The record is from RNAcentral. Lineage: Eukaryota; Metazoa; Arthropoda; Insecta; Odonata; Coenagrionidae.